Molecule: long non-coding RNA, 974 nt
Filed under: Fukomys damarensis (Damara mole-rat)
Lineage: Eukaryota; Metazoa; Chordata; Mammalia; Rodentia; Bathyergidae
Description: lncRNA (ENSFDAG00000023225.1)
Source: RNAcentral
CUCCUCUCAAAUUCAGACCUCCUAACAUCUUGUUUGCUGUGUGUUAGUCAGCUUUUUAUCUCUGUGAGCAAACACCUGAAAAAAACAACUUAGAAGAGGGAAGGUUUCUCUGGGCUCCUGGGUUUGGGAGUUUCAGUCCAUGGUGACUGGGUGAGGCGGAACCAUGAUGGUGGAAGGGUGUGGCGAAAGCAAGCUGCUCACCUCAUGGUGACCAGGCAGCAGAGAACAGGAAAAGUCCCCAAGGAAGGUGCCAGGGGCAGAGACAGUCUCCAAGGCCACACCCCUGUGACCUACUCCCUUCAGCUGGGCCCAGUGCCGGCUUCAGCUACUUCCCAUGACUGCCGUUUAAUUAUGAUCACAUCAGUGGAUUAACCACAGAUGCCUAACAACUCUUACGAUCCAUUUCUUCCCCAGAAGCACAUCUGCUGGCAAUGAAGCCUUCGCUCAGUGAGCCUGUUGGGGGUGUUUUGGAUCCUGGCCAUCAAACUGCUUCCCUUCCUCACCCAAGCCGGUAUUCAGGCUUCCUAGACACAGAACCCCAGGCGGAGCCCAGGCUCUGAGCAAGCUGCUUCCGCUCAGGCCUCAGUUUCUGCAUGCGGAAGGACAGCAGUGCCUGGCUUCUCCAAAUUAUCUCUGGGAUCCACCAUGGCUCUGGGGGAACCUGAUUCAGCAGGCCCUUUGGAAUCCUCUGCAUGGUCACGCAGCACGACCUGCAGCGGACUGUGUGAGCCGCCCACCCAGACCCAGGACUUCCAGCCAGGAUUGCACACACCAUGGAGCUCCAAUGAGCUCUAGACAGUUCGCAAAAUUAUAUCAUGUCUGACUCAUUCUGAUUUCUCAGAGUGGGUGCACUGUGGGUUAAAAACAGGACCAAUGUGAGAACCAGGAUCCCAGCAGCCAUGGCUUGGCCAGCAUCUCCGCCCGUCGCGAGCCCAUCUGGGCACCCUGGGUCCAGGCUGGAGGGAGUCACAGAG